CCUACGGGGGGCAGCAGUGGGGGAUAUUGCACAAUGGGGGAAACCCUGAUGCAGCGACGCCGCGUGUGGGAAGACGGUCCUCUGGAUUGUAAACCACUGUCCCCAGGGACGAAGAUGACGGUACCUGGGGAGGAAGCUCCGGCUAACUACGUGCCAGCAGCCGCGGUAAUAGGUAGGGCGCGAGCGUUGUCCGGAUUUACGGGGUGUAAAGGGAGCGUAGGCGGGACUGCAAGUUGGGUGUCAAAUCUACCGGCUCAACCGGUAGCCGCACUCAAAACUGCAGUUCUUGAGUGAAGUAGAGGCAGGCAGAAUUCCUAGUGUAGCGGUGAAAUGCGUAGAGAUGAGGAGGAAGACCAGUGGCGAAGGCGGCCUGCUGGGCUUUUACUGACGCUGAGGCGCGAAAGUGUGGGGAGCAAACAGGAUUAGAUACCCCUGUAGUC
Molecule: ribosomal RNA, 440 nt
Filed under: uncultured bacterium
Lineage: Bacteria
Description: partial 16S ribosomal RNA
Rfam family: Bacterial small subunit ribosomal RNA
Source: RNAcentral